This 253-nucleotide ribosomal RNA is filed under the name uncultured bacterium. RNAcentral's name for it is "partial 16S ribosomal RNA". It matches the Rfam family "Bacterial small subunit ribosomal RNA", at positions 524 to 776 of the family's 1533-position model. The record is from RNAcentral.
UACGAAGGGGGCUAGCGUUGCUCGGAAUCACUGGGCGUAAAGCGCACGUAGGCGGUCCGUUAAGUCGGAUGUGAAAUCCCUCGGCUCAACUGAGGAAGUGCAUCCGAAACUGGCAGGCUUGAGUACGAAAGAGGGUCGCGGAAUUCCCGGUGUAGAGGUGAAAUUCGUAGAUAUCGGGAGGAACACCGGUGGCGAAGGCGGCGACCUGGGUCGAUACUGACGCUGAGGAGCGAAAGCGUGGGGAGCGAACAGG